GACGAACGCUGGCGGCGUGCUUAACACAUGCAAGUCGAACGAUGAACCCGGAGCUUGCUCCGGCGGAUUAGUGGCGAACGGGUGAGUAACACGUGAGUAACCUGCCCUUGACUCUGGGAUAACUGCUAGAAAUGGUAGCUAAUACCGGAUACGACCCUCGGUGGCAUCACCAGGGGGUGGAAAGAAUUUCGGUCAAGGAUGGACUCGCGGCCUAUCAGCUAGUUGGUGAGGUAACGGCUCACCAAGGCGACGACGGGUAGCCGGCCUGAGAGGGUGACCGGCCACCCUGGGACUGAGACACGGCCCAGACUCCUACGGGAGGCAGCAGUGGGGAAUAUUGCACAAGGGGCGCAAGCCUGAUGCAGCAACGCCGCGUGAGGGAUGACGGCCUUCGGGUUGUAAACCUCUUUUAGUAGGGAAGAAGCGAAAGUGACGGUACCUGCAGAAAAAGCACCGGCUAGCUACGUGCCAGCCGCCGCGGUAA
Molecule: ribosomal RNA, 484 nt
Filed under: uncultured bacterium
Lineage: Bacteria
Description: partial 16S ribosomal RNA
Rfam family: Bacterial small subunit ribosomal RNA
Source: RNAcentral